UGGGGAAUAUUGCACAAUGGGGGAAACCCUGAUGCAGCGACGCCGCGUGAGUGAAGAAGUAUUUCGGUAUGUAAAGCUCUAUCAGCAGGGAAGAAAAUGACGGUACCUGACUAAGAAGCCCCGGCUAACUACGUGCCAGCAGCCGCGGUAAUACGUAGGGGGCAAGCGUUAUCCGGAUUUACUGGGUGUAAAGGGAGCGUAGACGGCAGCGCAAGUCUGGAGUGAAAUCCCAUGGCUUAACCAUGGAACUGCUUUGGAAACUGUGCAGCUAGAGUGCAGGAGAGGUAAGCGGAAUUCCUAGUG
RNAcentral lists this ribosomal RNA (303 nucleotides) under uncultured bacterium. RNAcentral's name for it is "bacterial SSU rRNA". It matches the Rfam family "Bacterial small subunit ribosomal RNA", at positions 355 to 675 of the family's 1533-position model. The record is from RNAcentral.